RNAcentral lists this ribosomal RNA (373 nucleotides) under uncultured bacterium. RNAcentral describes it as "bacterial SSU rRNA". It matches the Rfam family "Bacterial small subunit ribosomal RNA", at positions 30 to 405 of the family's 1533-position model. The record is from RNAcentral.
AUUGAACGCUGGCGGCAUGCCUUACACAUGCAAGUCGAACGGCAGCACGGGAGCAAUCCUGGUGGCGAGUGGCGAACGGGUGAGUAAUAUAUCGGAACGUGCCAGUCGUGGGGAUAACGUAGCGAAAGCUACGCUAAUACCGCAUACGAUCUAUGGAUGAAAGCGGGGGAUCGCAAGACCUCGCGCGAUUGGAGCGGCCGAUAUCAGAUUAGGUAGUUGGUGAGGUAAAGGCUCACCAAGCCGACGAUCUGUAGCUGGUCUGAGAGGACGACCAGCCACACUGGGACUGAGACACGGCCCAGACUCCUACGGGAGGCAGCAGUGGGGAAUUUUGGACAAUGGGCGCAAGCCUGAUCCAGCAAUGCCGCGUGCA